This 921-nucleotide ribosomal RNA is filed under the name Utraria mammiformis. RNAcentral's name for it is "Lycoperdon mammiforme partial large subunit ribosomal RNA". It matches the Rfam family "Eukaryotic large subunit ribosomal RNA", at positions 49 to 964 of the family's 3401-position model. The record is from RNAcentral. Lineage: Eukaryota; Fungi; Basidiomycota; Agaricomycetes; Agaricales; Lycoperdaceae.
AUCGGAGUAGACUAACAGGAUCCCCUAGUAACUGCGAGUGAAGCGGGAAAAGCUCAAAUUUAAAAUCUGGCGGUCUCUGGCCGUCCGAGUUGUAAUCUAGAGAAGUGAUGCCCGCGCUGGACCGUGUACAAGUCUCCUGGAAUGGAGCGUCAUAGAGGGUGAGAAUCCCGUCUCUGACACGGACUACCAGGGCUUUGUGGUAUGCUCUCAAAGAGUCGAGUUGUUUGGGAAUGCAGCUCUAAAUGGGUGGUAAAUUCCAUCUAAAGCUAAAUAUUGGCGAGAGACCGAUAGCGAACAAGUACCGUGAGGGAAAGAUGAAAAGAACUUUGGAAAGAGAGUUAAACAGUACGUGAAAUUGCUGAAAGGGAAACGCUUGAAGUCAGUCGCGUUGGCCAGGAAUCAGCCUCGCUCUUGCGUGGUGUACUUUCUGGUUGACGGGUCAGCAUCAAUUUUGACUGCUGGAAAAAGGCUUAGGGAAUGUGGCAGCUUCGGCUGUGUUAUAGCCCUUUGUCACAUACAGCGGUUGGGAUUGAGGAACUCAGCACGCCGCAAGGCCGGGUUUCGACCACGUUCGUGCUUAGGAUGCUGGCAUAAUGGCUUUAAGCGACCCGUCUUGAAACACGGACCAAGGAGUCUAACAUGCCUGCGAGUGUUUGGGUGGUAAACCCGAGCGCGUAAUGAAAGUGAAAGUUGAGAUCCCUGUCGUGGGGAGCAUCGACGCCCGGACCAGACCUUUUGUGACGGAUCCGCGGUAGAGCAUGUAUGUUGGGACCCGAAAGAUGGUGAACUAUGCCUGAAUAGGGUGAAGCCAGAGGAAACUCUGGUGGAGGCUCGUAGCGAUUCUGACGUGCAAAUCGAUCGUCAAAUUUGGGUAUAGGGGCGAAAGACUAAUCGAACCAUCUAGUAGCUGGUUCCUGCGGU